GUAUUCGUUCAAGACUUUUAAAAGUCCAUAUAAAUCUGGGUGUAUUCGUUCCAGACUUUUUAAAUCCAUACAAAUCUAGGUGUAUUCGUUAUUCCAUUGACUUAAAAUCCGGAAUGACUUUCAUGGAUUUCAUCCAAAAAAUACACACGACGAAAUCCGGCCAAGAACCACGAGAAUUGAAAUCCAUGAAGUUUUAAACGAGCGGUGAGUUCCAGCGCCCGCGGCCAAGAAGCCAGCGAGCGCUGGAACUCAGUCAUCGUUGAGUGUCCAGCCCACGCUGGAUUUGAGCGGGCGCUGGAGUGUCCAGAUCCACGUUGGAUCUGUGAUUCUCACUUCAACCUUGUAAUGUAUCACUUUGUGUUUUGCUUAGUUGAUCGCAAUCAAGUCCUGCCAUGACCGCAACAUCACUCACAGGGAUAUCAAACCUGAAAACAUGGUAAUAUGCUUUGAAGACCAAGACUCAGGAAGCUGCUUGAGAGGAACUCCAAAUAGUAGCGAGAACUACACUACUAAAAUGUACUGAUUCUUCGAAUUUAUCGUUGUGUUUCAGUAUCCUGGUUCUUAAAAUUUAUUACUGUAGUUUCCUUUUUACUGCGAUGAAUUGCACGGCCUUAACUUUUA
Salvia miltiorrhiza (redroot sage) is the source of this 621-nucleotide long non-coding RNA. RefSeq lists it as uncharacterized. NCBI's taxonomy places the organism in Eukaryota, Viridiplantae, Streptophyta, Magnoliopsida, Lamiales, Lamiaceae. The transcript has 2 exons. The record is from RefSeq and is a predicted model, not a curated record.